This is an unclassified non-coding RNA of Aotus nancymaae (Ma's night monkey), 299 nucleotides long. It matches the Rfam family "Metazoan signal recognition particle RNA". From Rfam's summary of the family: The signal recognition particle (SRP) is a universally conserved ribonucleoprotein. NCBI's taxonomy places the organism in Eukaryota, Metazoa, Chordata, Mammalia, Primates, Aotidae. The record is from Ensembl.
AUCGGGCUCAGUGACGCGUCCCUGUAGUCCCAGCUACUCAGGAGGCUGAGGCUGGAGGAUCUCUUGAGCCCAGGAGUUCUGGGCUGUAGUGUUCUAUGCUGAUCAGGUGUCCGCACUAAGUUCGGCAUCAAUAUGGUGACCUCCCGGGAGCUGGGGACUACCAGAUUGCCUAAGGAGGGGUGAACUGGCCCACAUCGGAAAUGGAGCAGGUCAAAACUCCCUUGCUGAUCAGUAGUGGGAUUGUGCCUGUGAAUAGCCACUGCACUCCAGCCUGGGCAACGUAGUGAGACCCCGUCUCU